Non-coding RNA from Doryrhamphus excisus (bluestripe pipefish), 594 nucleotides. The record is from RefSeq and is a predicted model, not a curated record. NCBI's taxonomy places the organism in Eukaryota, Metazoa, Chordata, Actinopteri, Syngnathiformes, Syngnathidae.
CAUUGAUGAGGGGUGCAGAAGUGGAGAGAAAACUUUAUUUUCAUUUUUUUGUCCAUCAGUUGGCAGUAUUGUAAAACAUUGUAAAUAUAAAGUCUGUGUUUUGUUUACCAUUAAAACAAGUACUUCCUCUCUUUGCCACACAAUGUGGUUGGCAUUGACGAGGGGUGUAGAAGUGGAGAGAAAAUAACUUUAUUUUCAUUCUUUUGUCCAUCAGAAACCUAACAAAGGCUGUUACAGGGACACACAGGUUUUAUUGCAGAUUUGAAUUCUCUCUCAGCAGACGCAUUAAUCCCUAACAUGGGCUACUGUUGUGGUCGUUACGCUACGGCAAGCUAAAAUGCAACACUUGAUAUCCUGUCAACCCCGCUUCCCAAGCACUGGAACACAUUUACAGCAAUGAAAGUUUUAUUUCCUCUUAUUGUGUCUGCUAUAUUAAUAAUAAUAUAAUAUGGGGUUCUAUUUCUAUUUUCUAUUUGGAGGUUUUUCGAAAUCGGCAUGUGGCUAAUGCUAGUAGCUGGCGCAUUUAUGGGAAUUCCCAUGUAGAUUAGUAUCAGGUGAAGGUAUUUGCUCAAUUUUGUUAGCUAAAGAUAAAAG